RNAcentral lists this ribosomal RNA (482 nucleotides) under uncultured bacterium. RNAcentral's name for it is "bacterial SSU rRNA". It matches the Rfam family "Bacterial small subunit ribosomal RNA", at positions 30 to 507 of the family's 1533-position model. The record is from RNAcentral.
AUUGAACGCUGGCGGCAUGCCUUACACAUGCAAGUCGAACGGUAACAGGUCUUCGGAUGCUGACGAGUGGCGAACGGGUGAGUAAUACAUCGGAACGUGCCUAGUAGUGGGGGAUAACUACUCGAAAGAGUGGCUAAUACCGCAUGAGAUCUACGGAUGAAAGCAGGGGAUCGCAAGACCUUGUGCUACUAGAGCGGCUGAUGGCAGAUUAGGUAGUUGGUGGGAUAAAAGCUUACCAAGCCGACGAUCUGUAGCUGGUCUGAGAGGACGAUCAGCCACACUGGGACUGAGACACGGCCCAGACUCCUACGGGAGGCAGCAGUGGGGAAUUUUGGACAAUGGGCGAAAGCCUGAUCCAGCAAUGCCGCGUGCAGGAUGAAGGCCUUCGGGUUGUAAACUGCUUUUGUACGGAACGAAAAGCUUCGGGUUAAUACCCUGGAGCCAUGACGGUACCGUAAGAAUAAGCACCGGCUAACUACGUG